GAUAUUUUCCUACUUUGAAACCCAGGUGAGAGCCUCAGAGCAACUCAGGAACCUCUUGUGUACAAAUCCUGGAAAAGGUAAUGCAUAAAGACCUCCUGGGCCACUGAGCACCUGAGGCUGAUGUUGAGGAAAGGUGAGGGUUGUGUUUUAAUUGAGCUAAUCUCCCCUUCAGAUGCGAGAAGAGGCGUCUGGGAGGCCCAAUUGUAUCAGAGAAGAGGCUGGCACUGCAGUCGUGCUCCUGCAAGGAGGGUUUGGCUUUUAACAAGUUGGCUCUGAGAACCAAGGAAGAGAGGAUGGAAAGAGCUUUACUGAGCAUCUCCAGCAUGAUCCAAGGUGAGGGUUGUGUUUUAAUUGAGCUAAUCUCCCCUUCAGAUGCGAGAAGAGGCGUCUGGGAGGCCCAAUUGUAUCAGAGAAGAGGCUGGCACUGCAGUCGUGCUCCUGCAAGGAGGGUUUGGCUUUUAACAAGUUGGCUCUGAGAACCAAGGAAGAGAGGAUGGAAAGAGCUUUACUGAGCAUCUCCAGCAUGAUCCAGUAGUAUCUGCUGAUGCUGAUGCUGCCACCCGGUGCUUUUCAUUUGGGGAUCAAGCGGCAAUGCCCCUGGAAGAAGAUCAAAGAUCGAAGUGCUUUCUUUAAUUAUUACAGGCCAGGAGAUUACCAGAUUACUGGGAUCAUAACGACUGCAAAUUCUAUAUUUCGGCCAUAUGAUUUCUACAGUUCUCCCUCCAGCAAUAUUCUCGUUCUAGAAGGCACGACAUUCUGGAACAUCCUGCCCUUCUUGUUUGCUGUUCGUGAGAUCAACGAGAAGCCAACCCUUUUAGCCAAUGUCACUCUGGGCUACAACAUCUACGAGAAUCAUUUCAAUGCAAGGAUAACUUCUGAGGCUUUGGUGGACCUGCUGUCUGUGGGGCAGCAGCAUGUUCCAAACUACCUCUGUGGGAAGCAGAAUGGCUUGUCAGUGGUUCUGGAAGGGGCCGACUCAGAAAUCUCCAACCAGAUUUCAACAAUAUUGGACAUCUACAAGAUCCCACAGGUAUGAAAGGAGUGGAGGGUGAGUCUCCUUCUAGUUUUUAAAAUCUCUAUACAGUGGUGCCUCGCAGAACGGGCGCCUCGUAGAGCAAUGAGUUCGCUCUACGAGGCCGUUUCU
RNAcentral lists this long non-coding RNA (1144 nucleotides) under Pogona vitticeps (central bearded dragon). RNAcentral's name for it is "lncRNA (ENSPVIG00000006317.1)". Lineage: Eukaryota; Metazoa; Chordata; Lepidosauria; Squamata; Agamidae. The record is from RNAcentral.